Molecule: ribosomal RNA, 321 nt
Filed under: uncultured bacterium
Lineage: Bacteria
Description: bacterial SSU rRNA
Rfam family: Bacterial small subunit ribosomal RNA
Source: RNAcentral
AAAACACGGAUGAACGCUAGCGACAGGCUUAACACAUGCAAGUCGAGGGGCAGCACGGGAGUAGCAAUACAACUGGUGGCGACCGGCGCACGGGUGAGUAACGCGUAUGCAACCUACCUAUCAGAGGGGAAUAACCCGGCGAAAGUCGGACUAAUACCGCAUAAAACAGGGGCACCGCAUGGUGAUAUUUGUUAAAGAAAUUCGCUGAUAGAUGGGCAUGCGUUCCAUUAGGUAGUUGGUGAGGUAACGGCUCACCAAGCCGACGAUGGAUAGGGGAACUGAGAGGUUGGUCCCCCACACUGGUACUGAGACACGGACCAG